Molecule: unclassified non-coding RNA, 379 nt
Filed under: uncultured bacterium
Lineage: Bacteria
Description: contains 16S-23S intergenic spacer region
Source: RNAcentral
UCCGGUUUGACACCGGCAGUCUCCUAUGAGUCCCCGACAUAACUCGCUGGCAACAUAGGACAGGGGUUGCGCUCGUUGCGGGACUUAACCCAACACCUCACGACACGAGCUGACGACAGCCAUGCACCACCUGUGCACAGGCCCCGAAGGGCUGCCGGGUUUCCCCGAACAUUCCGGUGCAUGUCAAGCCCAGGUAAGGUUCUUCGCGUUGCGUCGAAUUAAACCACAUGCUCCACCGCUUGUGCGGGCCCCCGUCAAUUCCUUUGAGUUUCAGCCUUGCGGCCGUACUCCCCAGGCGGGGCACUUACUGCGUUAGCGACGGCACUCAGAGGGUCGCUCCCCCAAGCACCUAGUGCCCAUCGUUUACGGCGUGGACUAC